RNAcentral lists this ribosomal RNA (247 nucleotides) under uncultured bacterium. RNAcentral's name for it is "partial 16S ribosomal RNA". It matches the Rfam family "Bacterial small subunit ribosomal RNA", at positions 84 to 334 of the family's 1533-position model. The record is from RNAcentral.
CUUGUCGGCGAGUGGCGAACGGGUGAGUAAUGCAUCGGAACGUAUCGAGUAAUGGGGGAUAACCAUCCGAAAGGAUGGCUAAUACCGCAUACGCUCUAAUGAGGAAAGCGGGGGACCAUUAGGCCUCGCGUUAUUCGAACGGCCGAUGUCAGAUUAGCUAGUUGGUAGGGUAAAGGCCUACCAAGGCGAUGAUCUGUAGCGGGUCUGAGAGGAUGAUCCGCCACACUGGGACUGAGACACGGCCCAG